This 433-nucleotide ribosomal RNA is filed under the name uncultured bacterium. RNAcentral describes it as "partial 16S ribosomal RNA". It matches the Rfam family "Bacterial small subunit ribosomal RNA", at positions 29 to 507 of the family's 1533-position model. The record is from RNAcentral.
AACGAACGCUGGCGGCAUGCCUAACACAUGCAAGUCGAACGAGACCUUCGGGUCUAGUGGCGCACGGGUGCGUAACGCGUGGGAACCUGCCCUUAGGUUCGGAAUAACUCCCCGAAAGGGGUGCUAAUACCGGAUAAUGUCUUCGGACCAAAGAUUUAUCGCCUUUGGAUGGGCCCGCGUUGGAUUAGCUAGUUGGUAGGGUAAAAGCCUACCAAGGCGACGAUCCAUAGCUGGUCUGAGAGGAUGAUCAGCCACACUGGGACUGAGACACGGCCCAGACUCCUACGCGAGGCAGCAGUGGGGAAUAUUGGACAAUGGGCGAAAGCCUGAUCCAGCAAUGCCGCGUGAGUGAUGAAGGCCUUAGGGUUGUAAAGCUCUUUUACCCGGGAUGAUAAUGACAGUACCGGGAGAAUAAGCGCCGGCUAACUCCGUG